GGGAAAGAUGAGGAUGGGGGAUAGGGAAGAAGGGGUUCUAGAGAGCAGCAGCUGGCCCAGGGACUCUCUGGCAGAUGGUGACUCUUCAAUGCCGAGAUGGAAAUCGGGAGUCCCUGCUGUGCCGCCAACAGAUACAGUGACGUCUCCAGGCAAGCAUGAUGUUAUAGUGCUUGCCCGGGCCUGGUGGAGGUGGAUCCACUUCCACUGAUUCAUCCUCUGGAGGUAUGUCCACCUCCAUGGGCUCGACAUUGCUCUCUGGUGGGUCUAUAUCCAUUGGCUCAGGCUCACUGCUGCUUGCUAGAAGCCGACCCUUCUUUGGUGGAGGAGGAUUCAUCCUCCUCCACCAAAGCUCCUACACUGGAAGGGAUGGGUCUAGGUAAUGAGCUCUGUGUCUCAAAUGCAUGCUUUCCAAGCAGAAGUCGGUCAGUGACUGGUGUUCUGUUGUCAGGGUCCCCGUAGUUAUAGUGGUUGGCAGGGAGGAGGCUUGUGGCAUCAUUAGGCCAUGAUGAUGUGACCCUAAGAAUGUCCCAUGGCAACCAAAACAUGGCUGUGUUGUGCACGGGGAGGCUAUGGCCUGACAGUUGCCCUACUUGUCACCAGUGGGAUUCGAAUUUUCCCAGGUUUGAAGAUUUGGUACCCUUUAGUGUGCUCCCCUCCCGCAGCAAACUGAAGGACCGCACGCAGAGGGAAAGGCAGGAUCUGAGCACUGCUGUGAGCACUCACAGGACGCUGUUCCUCCCGCAGACAUCAUGAGCACUGAAGAUAAUCUCUGUGUGGAAUGGGGAAAGCUCCUAAAACUGGUGCUAUAAUCUGUAACAGCAGAAAAGCUCUCUCAGCCCAGCCCUGAUCACAUAUUUUUUACAUAGGGGAAUGCCAUCUCUUUCACUUCCUCUGCUCUCCCUCUUAUGAUUUACUUCUUCUUUUUUACCCAUAAAAAGUCUGAAAUGUCCUCUUGCACUUCUGUACUAUUGUACCCAGGAUUUUAAUAGGAACAUUUGAAAAAUAAAUACUAGCCAAGGAGCACAUUCAUUUUUAUUAUAGCUAUUCUCUCUGCAUAUGCGAUGGUGAAUUAACUCUCUUUCUGCAAGUCUCUCUUGAUUUUUAUGUAUCAGUGGAGAGAAGCUCAGACCAUAAAGCUUGUUGGGUCCUGUAGACAUUCGUGUUCUUAAAUAUGUAAAGACACCCCAAUGGAGCCCGUACUGUUGCUCCUUUCUGGUGUGAUUCUAUUUUAGUGCAUGUAUUGCCAGUGAUUUUCAUUUUGUUUAAUUUUCUUUAAAAGCUGAAAAUCUCUCCAAAGCUGUUUCUCUUCCUAUUUCUGAGACUGUCUGUUAGUGUUGCAGAGUUAUAGCACGGCAUUGCCCGAACAUAGGCAAUUUUCUACUGCAAGCACAUUAUCAUUAUUCUGUCAAUACAUUUAUUUCCUCGGAACCUCUGGGGCAGCGGUUGUUCUGCUCUAGCAGGGUCCAGCAGUGGCAGAAACCCGCUGGUCCCAAACCCAUUUCAGGUGCCCUGCUCUGUGUUGCACUAUGGGGCACUCCACCUGCCUAAAACCAUUUCCCAUCGUUGGGUUUUUUGACCCGAUCCUAGUGUAUCUCUGGGAUCAUAGUGCUGGGAUGCUUAUGGGUGUACAGGCCUGAGCUCUGUGCCUUCUUUAUUGAGUUACUUUUAUGGCAGCUCAUAUCCUUCUGGCUUAAUCUCAUUUUAUGUCUUUUUCCUCUCCCAGUCCUCAUAGUGGUAACUGCCUCUAAUAUUUAAAUGCCCACAUACAUGAUCAGCUGGUCUUAGGAAUAACACUUUACCUCAUUAUUUAGUAAAUGCUGGGCAUGGUCUGUUUUACAAAUGAUCUGGGCAGUGUGGUGCUCCCAUUGCGUGGGCUCUUCUUCAGUGGUCACAGUGGUAAUAAAUAGGUUUAUUGCUAUUGUCAGAGACAUAUGUUUUAAGGCCAACAGGGCCUUUAUGAUUAUUUGGUUGGAGAUUAUGGAUUGCUCAGAGCAGAAUUUAAAGCACUGAGUCAAACCUAAUAACGUGGAGGGGAGCGCACGUGGACUGAAUGCAUGACACAAAGACAGCCCCACGCAGGAGCCCACUGAGCACGGUGUGGGCACACAUGGCUCUAAUCGUGUGAGCAGCCGUCCCCAGGCCGUGGUGCUUCUGGGAAGCAGAUCUCCCAGGCUCGAGGUGGCGAGGCUCUGAGCUCUCUGAAAAAAAUGGCCCAUUAUUCACAGCUUGGAUUCUGGCUGUGUCGAUUUCCAGCAGGCAGACCUUGGAGUGACAGCAUCCGUCAGCGAGCCGGCUGAUGUACUGCAUGAAUCACUGCGGCCUUAUGGUCCCGGGGACGGCGUUGGGAGGGCAGCGCUCUUCCUGGAGAUGCCAUCUCAAAAUGACACGUCCCCCCAGCAAAGCACGUUCCUGGCGGGGUCUUUAGAGCCACUUUGCCGCACUCGGGUCCCGCUGAGUUGUUGUGCUGCUGAUUAUGAUGCUCUGCGAAGAGUUGUUUCACAACUAUGAUUUUCCAAUUACUUAAAUCACCUGGAACUGAGGACUAAACCAGCGUUCCCUGUUAUUUCUCUUUCUAUUUGUUUUUGUGUGGCACUUUUGGUCCCAUUUUCUCCCUCCAGAGAGCAGUUGUGUAACACCCAGGGGGAGAUGUGCAGUCCCAAGCACCCUUCCGCUGCGGGUGGGCUUCGUUUCAAAUGUAACACAGCCAAGUGUAGGCAUCCAGCUGCAGGGAUCUGUGAGUCUGGGGGUCCCAGCUGCUGUUAAAAGGACCACAGUGGGGUUCAGAAGGCAAAAACGUGGACACACCUGAGUGCUAACUCUGAGUGCUCAGGCACUUCCUGUGUGGGCUCUAUUUAUCUUGUUGCAGAGGGAUGCUCCCCUUGGCAUCGGUCACACGCUUCUGGGAGCUCACAGCCAGACGCUUCGUAAAGAAAGAGUGUAAUGCUAUAACCAAUAGAACCCUGACCCAGUGCUGUACAGACAGCCACAGCAAAUGGGAGCGUCUCUGGGAGCAUCUCUACGCUGGUAGUACCCUGAAUCUCCCAGGGCUCUGAGGCAGAUCUGGGUACCAAAACAAGACCCAGCCUCACCAUUAGGCAGAAAGCAUGUGAACGUGGUCAAAGCUCAGUAGAUCAGAUGGAUUAUUUCUGGGUAUUAGGAACAAUUUCUUCUCAGAAGGAUAGCAAUGCAUUGGCACAGGCUGCCCAGGGACGUGGUGGAGUCACUGUCCCUGGAGGUGUUCAGGAAAAUGGUAGAUGUCACACAUCUGGACAUCGUUCAGUGGGCACGGUGGGGUGGAUUUGUGGUUGGAUUUGAUGAUCCUAGUGGUCCUUUCCAGCCUUAAUGAUUCUAUGAUGAGAGAUCUAUGAAUGGCUCUCCCCCUACUCAGGAUGCCUUUACGAGGAGAUCCUUGCUUCCAAGCAUGGUAUAGGCAAGUGAAUCGCUGAUGCCAGCAUUGCAGCAAGCUGCACAUCCCCUUCCCUGUCCUAGGAUAUGUUCCUCUCCGUUGAUCAGAGUUCCCCCAUCAGAAUCUGGGUAAGGAUUUAAUACAAAACAGUCAGGAUCAUUUUGAGAAAGUGAGGUUUUGUUUGUGGAAUUUCAUCAUUAACAGCCCUUCUAGAGCAGUUACCCAUAAAAGGAAGCUGAGCUGGGAAUUACCUAUUGAGAGCUGUUUACCAUAUUGUGGCUUCUGUGAGAACAAUGUGGUAUAAACCACAUACCAGUUAAGUUGUUUAAUUAACUAAUUAUCUAUUCAGAGUUUCUUGUAGCUCCUUUUAUCUCUGUUCCUUAGCUACAGUACAAUAUGGAAAUUAGAGGAAAUUAAAACACUUUAUUAGACAAAAUAGAAUAGACAAGUUUAGAAAUCACAGCUUCAGAAAUAGAGGCCACCCGAUCAUGCUUGCAAUACGCGGGCAAUACUGGUGGUAGGUGGAUGGUUGGACUAGAUGAUCUUAGAGGUCUUUUCCAGCCCUGAUGAUUCUGUGAUUCUUCGGUUCUGUGUGAAAUGAUGAUUUGAACUCCAGCUGUUAAAAUAGAGGACGCAUCGUAAAUCAAGCCAGUAAACCCAAGUCACCCCGCAGCUGCUGGCCAAGGAAGCUGCGUCUGAUCUGCAGGUGAGUGCUGUGGGAGCAAAGCCAUCCCGUUCUGCCCCUGAGAACAACAUGUGUGCUGAGCAGGAAGCAACUAUUAGCAGACAAAGCCAGGCAAAGCGAGGAUAUGAUUGCUUCCAGGCUUCGUGUCUGGGGUUGUUCUGCACAGCAGCUGCUCCCCUCCUCGUGCAUUAAGGAGAGCGUUAAAACCGAAGUCCCUCGCUCAGCUUUACUUGAGGUAUGUGCUUUUAGAGGAGUGUUUGGACACAAAGAACCGUCUUGUCACUUGGGUAAACAAGACACAACUAUCAAGCUCGGUUUGGGGCUUAUCAAUUGGAACCAGCAUGAAAGUGCGCUCCCCAGCUCCAGCUUGCAGUCGCAGUGACUGGUUUCUCAAGAUAAACCAAGAGCGCAUUCAAGUAGUUUCCUCACAAAGUGAUAUGAAAGUCACAUUGUUGUUUCCCCACAUCUUACAAGCCAGUUCCCUAAAUAGGAUUUCAGAGAAACAAAGUGAAUGGGACGCUCAUCGUGCAGGCAAUGGGAGGCGUUACCAGGUGGGUCGGUGGAUGCUACCCUGAGCUGCUCCCCUCCCUCAGCUGUAUUUUAACAGCCUCCUAUUUCUGGCAGUACAAAAGCAGCAGUGUCCCGAGCAUUUGGGUGAGACAACUCCAGCCACCUGCCCCCUGAUUAACUGCUACAAGCAAUCCUGCUUUGUCUCAUAAUUGAAGCGCCAGCCAAUGGGGGUUGGCACGAGGUGUUUGCUGAGGGCUGGCCCCGACCAUUCUCCUCACUGCGCUCGGAUGCUCCAUCUCCAGGCCCUAACAAGGUCCCCCGGAGAAUCACAGCCACCUGGGGGUGUCACAGCACUGUCCCCUGCCCUCCUCGCACCUCUCAGACCAGCGUCAUCGUGGGCAAAUGGAACAUCCCUGCUCAGAGCCGCGGAUUUAUUGUUGCCCUAAUUACAGCCCUAACAGCCUCAUCGCAGUGUAACAAACAGUUAUUAUUCCACUUACAAUCACACUGACAUUCACGCUCCGUAUUAAUACGGAAAAGCAUCAUUAAUAAUGGCCAUAAACCCUGCUGGUCUCUGUCUCUGGUUGAGCUCAUCCUUCUGCCGCAGUCAGAGCCAAGGUAAGGCCAAUACCUGCCCCCAGGCCAACACCAAGCCACCACGAAAGCCACAGUGUGAAAGCCUGCAUGGCUGCGUUGGUCAUUUUAGUGCAGCAGCAUUGGUGAUGAGCAGUGGGAAGCUCAGCGCAGUACACGGGUCUUCCUCCUGUUCUGUGAUACCCAGUGCUUUGGAUGUUAUUAUGCUCCUUAUGUCAGUACAAUAAUAAUUUCAGUUCAGUUUAGCACAGUGUUGCUUAAAUUUAAUAGGUUAUAUGUAUCAGAUAAUAUAAACAUAUAUUAACUUUUAUAAGUUAUCAAAUAUUAGAGCUAGCUAUAUCUUAAAAAAGAUGUUUUCCUAUUUUAAUGCUCUUUUGUUACAAAUGAAGCUUUAAAUUGAAAUAGAUAGAAAACCUCUUCAGGUGCUAUAAGGAUCUAGUUAUCAUUUAGGAAGGAAACGUGACAGCUUUUGGAUUUAAAAUAACAUUAUUUUUUUUUUACAAUAACUAUUUAUGGACAACCAUAACACAAAGGUCUUGCAUACCACAGUUGCCUGGGAAUAAUUGUUGCUGAUGGCUCCAUUCGGUUCCAACUUGGUGGCUACAGAGAUGCUGGGCCACAAGGACAGCGUGGGAAUGGGGAUCUCCUGGUCGGGGCCAGGUCUCCCCCAUCACCACGUGUCCACUACGUCUCUGCUCUGCCACCCCUGCAGAGCCAUUAGCUGCAUAGAAACCUCCAUCAGUGCCCUGAUUUUAGUGCCCGUUAAACCACGUGGUCUGACAUUCCUCAGACUGGAGAUUGCUGUCUGCUUGGGGUUCCAAAAACUUCCCCAAAAGCCCAAAUGUGACAGAGAGUGGUGCUAACUAUGACAAAGCAGAGGGGCGAGAGCUCAUUUUAGUAAUGCAUUGCAGUGUUCACGCCGCCCAAGCAUCUGCUAACUGCCCUCAAUUUUAGGUUUUUAAAAAAAAAUGGACUUCUUCCAGGGAGAAGUGUAUGUUUAUCUGCAGGCAAUAAUUAGAGGCUGAUGAUUCAGGGACUGCAAAAGGGAUAGAAAAAAAAAAAAAAAACCAAAACCUUGGGGAGGGACUGCAGGGAAGACAGCUGAAAACUGUUCUAGGAUAAAUGGAAGCCUCCUGAAACCCAGCCAGGCUGAGCUUCUCCCACCUUCAGAGAGACGCUGUAGGGAUGCCACGAGCCCACACCUGCUCCCCAUCACUUGCUUUGGGUGGUGCCACCUCAGGCUGUGGGCAGCCCCUGUGGGAAGGCAGCAGCCUGGGCUGGUGUCCCAGGGCUCCUUCCCAGCCCCUCUGCUAUAGAGUGUAUGUCCCUGUCCCCAGAGCUCACAGCUGACCCUCUGAUGGCAUCCCGUCACCCAGCUGGGUGAGACCAAUGCCAUGUGCAGUACUUGGCCCCAGGUGUAACGUGGAUGGAUGCAGACUGGGGCCAUCCUUGUGUGCCAGGUGCUUUAAUCCUUCCCUCUGCACUACAAGAUGCUCACAGGUUCCAUACAGACUUUCAGCAGCUGAUCCAGCAAGGCUCCUGAACACGCAGCGGGGCCUGACCGACGCUAUUAAGUAGUGAUUUUAUCCAAGUUCACACAGGUAUUGAAUGGGGAAAUGGAGAGGAUAUAGCAUAAAAUAGAUAUAUUUUUUUUCUUCUUGCAGGAGCUUUAGAUUAAAUAAGUUUGCGGUAGCUGGUAGAAUAAAUUAGAUGGCAGCUGGUGAGAUAGCAGGAAGGAUCAGAGAGUGCUUUUGUGAGUAAGGUAUGGUGAAUCCAAGGGGAGAAUGGUUUUGGGGCAGUGACCUGGGGGCAGUGGGAGCAAGCUGAGGGGAGGGGUGGGAAGGACCCGUCUGAAGACCACCUCCCCUCUACACGGCCAGCGGUGGUCACUGUCCAUUUGCUCACCUCGGUGCGAUGCCAACAUCCACCACCUCCCUGCAGCCUCUAAUUCCCUUUUUCUCGUUUGCAGGGAUGUGAAGCGGUCUGGGGAAAACUUACUUGAUAACUUUGUGAAGAAAUCCAGGAGAGAACAUUAACUCUGCGCUUCUCAUCUUCAUCAGAUCACUGCCCUUUAAGUGCGCUCAAGCUCAUUUUGCUUUUGUAUUUCUUUGCACUAUCUACUGAGAGAGAGGAAUAACACUCAAUGAAUAAUGGAAACUCCGGGUUGCCACCAAAGAGGUCCCAGUCCUGCAGAAGAAGAGGCUGGAGGAGAGGUGAGACCUGGGCCACUACCAGAAUGCCUUUAUGGGCAUCCUACAGAGGGUAUACCCAGGUGAUCUUUGGUGCCAAGGUUGGGCCAAGGUCCGUAGCAUCACCUGUUGAUGGGUUCUGCACCUGCAAGAAAUUCCAUGGGUAUCAGCCACCCAAUUCGGCUGCGGUAAAGAGCUGGAAGCCCUUGCAGCCAAACCCAACAGUCAGUUCUCACACAUGGUGCACAUUUUUACAGCUCUGCCAACUGAUUUAUUGGAAAACAGAAAACUCUCAAAUUCUCAGAGCUAUAAAUGCUCUUUGUUUCGGUUCCUUCCUGACAAGCGUAUUUAUGAUGAUCACAAAGGAAAGAUCACAACAAAACCUGGCAAAAAAUGGAAGCGAGAGGAGCGAGCCAAGCUGCAGAUAAUAAGUAACAAAUCAGGAAAAGGAGGAAGGUAAUAGCUGUGAUUAAAAAUCAGAUGCUGUGAAAUAAAGAACAAUUGAUGGGAGAAGUAAAAGUAUCCAUUUAAAAAAUCCGCAUCCAAAUGCGUUAUGGACAACAAGAAAGCAUUUUAGAUUAUCUGAAACACAAGAAAUUCUAGCAGAAUGAUGAUGGUAGAGAUCCAUUUUUUGAUAGAUGUGGUAAUGCUGCCAAUAAUAAUGCAGACGAUGCAGAAGGGCCCAAAACCUGCUCGGGGUCUGAAACACUGAAGACAAUAUUUUCUGAGCACACGGUCCCCACCAUUUUCUAUUCCAACAGCAAGCACACAGCAGUGACCAAAUUGUUAACAGUUUAAAAGAUGUUAAGCUGCCACCCUUAAUUAGCUGAAAUAAUUAUUAAUUUUUAAAGGCUUUCAAUUAAUUUUUAAACUAGUUUUCAUCUGCACAAUCAGCCAACUUGUUUAUAAAUUUGGGAAGAAAAAGCACUAAAUAUUUUACAGGAAUGACAGGGGAAAAAAAAAAAAAGGAGGUGGCGUGGUACUUCUUACGAGCUUGGAAAAAAAGAUGCGUUUCCAAAAGCAGUUUGGGAGCCUGGGGUUUGCCUUUGAUGUAGAAGUUUUUUGCCUUUGUUAUUCUCCAGAAAAGUCGUGAGAUGCUUUGAUUUGUUGGGUCGCAGGGGGUGGGAGGUGGCGGGGAAGGUUUGGUUUGUGACUUGUGAGCCUGGGGGUUAUUCUGGGCAUUUGGGAUUUUCCUCUCGGUCAAAUCACCACGAUUCACGCAGAAUAUUGGCAAAAUAGCCAUAAAAUUACCAGGGUUUCCGUGACACUCAUUUCAUUACAAAUCCAGAUGCAAUACAAACGAAAUGAUGUUUAACCAGGGAAAUGAUGCACUCCACUUCUGCUGCAAAAUGUGAGCGUACAAACGUGAAAAUUUGGGUUCCAAAAGGGCAUCUUUAAGAUAUAACACUCACUCUUGUAGUGCAGCACUUCUUGCUUGGCCAGGCUGAGGACACUCUGCCCGACAGAGAACAAAUUGCUGCUUGGCAUCCGUGCCUCACCUCAGUGCUGUCUGGCAUUGCCAGCAGUGUCUUGUGUAGCUGUGUCCUGGAUCGUGACACCGAGCAAUGGUGGGAGCAGCUGGAGAAACCCCAAACUUUCCCCUGGGCAAAGCCACCGGUGUGCGAGAGCACUGCUUGCACGAAUUGCACGAGAUUCGGUAAUUAAAAGGAUUAAUCAUUUUUUGCUAUAGGGUGUGUAUGGCGUAUACACACACACAUAUAUAUAUAUAUGUAGCAAUGAUAUGAGGUUGCACAGAGCCACCAGGUUCUUGGUUUGCAUCUGCACCGAGCCCAAGCUGCAGUUCAUCCUGGGCAAGUGAUGGAGAGGUGGGAGCGGGGCUGCAGGUGCUGCUAAAUUCCAUGCAUCCACCCCUAGGGGCUAACAGCACACCCUGCAAUAAUGCUGUGUUUCAAACAAAAAAGAGCAUGCUAUUCAACAAAAGAAAAUAAGAAAAUGCAUCAACGGCAUAGCUGGAAAGUUUCAGUUUUAGCCUCUCCUCUGGUCCCUCUCACUCCAUAUUGAAGACAUUCACCAUCUUUUGGCAACUCAGUGCUUUCCAAGGCAGUCCGGACGCGUGAUAUCAUUCAUUUUGAUGCAGUACAAUCAUUAAAGAUUUUUUUUUUUUCCUUUGCCAUAAUGGGUUUCAUUUUGAAUAGAGUGUGCUGAUGGGAAAUAUCCAUCGUGGUGGGAGCGUGCGGUUCCCAGCAUGGCAGCAGGAGUGGGGUGCUCCAUCACCCGCACCCCUGCGCUGGGCUCCCCAGACUGGAGCUGCAGCUGCUGCUUGUUCGUCCCCACACACGUGGGGCAGCCGGGCCCUGGUGGGCACCAGCAAUGGACAAGCAACCAGGGACUGCUGCUCUUUGAGCCAACCUGGCUGGGAAGAUGAUGAGACUGCAGCAGCUGGGGUUUGAAAUGGGGUGUCCUGCAACAUGUGGCCUGAAUCAAGCUCCCCCACAUCCAAAAUCCCAGGAGAGCAGCUCGGAACACAUCCGUGGCCACACUUCCAGCGCAGACAAAUUUGUAGAAAAAGCCAGAAAACCAUAAAAAUAAGGCAUCUUCCAGCCCCAGCAGUGUUGGCUGUUGUUCACCAUCACUGGUGCAUAUCCCAGCCCAUUUCCAUGGCAGGUGCUCUCCAAUCAGGAUGGGUAAGCACAGGUGCUUCCAAUCACCAACAGAGCCUGUAAGUUCCCACCAGUGGGCAACUUAAAGCUGAGCUGCACAGGGUGCAGAAGGACAGGCUCUAUUGGGACAUGCUGAAAUAUUUGUCUUGUGCUCAUACAGACCCAGCUUGGCUUGCACGCUUGUUUGCCUAACUGAUGGAGGCUUGAUAGCUGCAGCGGGGAGCUCAUUAAUUGAAUUCCAAAGGGAUUAAUUACAGCAGGAAUAAGAGGGCUCUCUGUCAUCUUGCAGGUUUUUCCAUGCUGCUGGAUUUGAGGGGGCUGGAAUGUGGUGGAGGCAACUGGAGGAGCCCACGGUGUCUCUGCUGUGUCACCGCUGUCCUGCUGGGCACGGAGAGGGGUAACACCAGGUCUUGGUGGGACACCGUCUGCUGUUUCCUUUACAUGGAGAAGUGUUGAGAAGUCAAAAUUAACUCCAGCUGUGCCAGUGAUGCAGUUCACUGUGCAGACCCGCAGAUGUGGGAAGGUACUGCCAGAAAAGCAGGGAAGGGGCUUAAGGACUUCCCCGACCACCACAGCUGCUGGGAAAAACACGUUCUGUGCUGCUACAUUUUAAACCAGCUCCUGGCCCUGCCUAUUCGACAGCUUUACUGCCUGACACGCCAUGCAGAAAAUGAUUCUUGGCCAUUAAAAGGUUUUAGCACAGCUGGGGGAGGACUUCUUGCCCAGCCCUGGCUGUGUCUGCCUUAGGGACAUGGUGGCAGUUUGAGGAUGCCUGCGGCUGGAGCCCUGGGUCCCUUCACCCAGCGCUGCUGAUGCUGCUGGGAGGCCAAGGGGUUUUUUCAUAGGGUAAGGAGAAGGCUGGGCUGCUUGGUCCUGGAAAAGCAAAUGGAAGGGCUCCCUCUGUGCAAAGGAUGGGCUGUGCGUGCAUGUCACCUCCUCGCACUGGCCGCAGUGAGGGCGUAGCUGGCCCUUGGAGAUGGGAAGGGCUGAGCUGCGAGGGGAGCAGCACCCACAUCCCUGCAGCCUCAGCUGCGGCCCUGGGCACCAGCCCCUCUCCUAAUUGCUGUAUGCUCCUCUCCUGGUGGAGCAUAUGGCUCUCCUUAUGCUGCUGUCGUGUCCAAUCUCACACGGUGGCCCCAGUGCUCUUAAUCAGCAGGCAAGCAUGUGGAUGCCUUGGUAAGUGAAAGGUUUGUAGAGGGGAUGGCAGCAAUGUGUUGGUUCCCCCCCCACCACCUUUAGGUUCUUAGGAAAUAAGUGUGAAGUGCUGCUCAGAGUGCCUCCAGCUGCACUUCUCCUCUGUGCUAGGGUUGGAGCAUCCAAAUGAGGGAGAUCUCAGGACGUGGGAGCAGGAUGAGGAGUGGCACUUUGGCAGCAGGAGGUUUAUUGCUCCCAGCGUACCCUACCAGCACCCACACAGCACCUCAGGGGCAGGAAGAGAGAGACACGCAUAAAAAUGUAGGAAAUGCCUUGCUGGGAAAAAGUCGAGCAGCAGCCAAAAGCUUCCCAGGCACCUGGACGAGGGCAGAUCUUUACCACCACUGCCCUAAGCUGGGGAACAGAACUUGAG
Long non-coding RNA from Numida meleagris (helmeted guineafowl), 11572 nucleotides. RefSeq lists it as uncharacterized. NCBI's taxonomy places the organism in Eukaryota, Metazoa, Chordata, Aves, Galliformes, Numididae. The transcript is spliced from 6 exons. The record is from RefSeq and is a predicted model, not a curated record.